AUCUAUUUCAGUAAUCAUUUUAAAUUUUUUUCAACUUUGUCAUUUUGAAAGUUUUGUAUAGUCGCUAUAAUAUAAAGUUUUAUUUUCUCUUAUGCAAGAAAAACUUUGAAAUUACUUAGAAUCAUCCUUUUUUCCUCAAAACAUCAGAUUGGCAAACCACCUCAUCAUAUUUGGUCAUCUCAAACUUAAAAUUACUUAUAUACUAUUUUCGUGAUGGGUAAUAAGGGAGGUUGGUGAAAAAAAUACAAAAAUUAUUGAAUAAUAUGUAAAUUUAUUUUCAAGUGAAAGAGAUAUUAUGAAUACAUUUGGUGGGUUCUGUAGGAAUAAUUAAAAUUGAAUUACUGUCAACCUAAAUAACUUCCAAUAUUAAUAUGAUAAUUCAAGAUAUACAUAUAAACUCACAUGAAAAAUGAAAUACCACUGCCUUUGCCUUCUUGAAAAAUCAGAGAUUAAAGCUCGAGUUAUAGCGGUAAAAACUGAUAAAGGGAUGCUACUAGCAUCCCUCAAAUUAGAAGGUAGAUUCACUCUAGCUUAUGAAACAGUAAACUAACCCAUGGAAGGAGUCUAACCGGCUGCGGGCGUAAUGCUGGUAACACAGAUAAAAGUCACGUGAUCCGGGUCAAGAAACGGGACGUUUGCACUGAAUUCAUAGCAAUUUCGGUUUAUUUCUUCAAUUUCAAAUAUUUAUACUAUCAUUUUGACGUACCCACUCAUUAUUUUUAUAUUGAGACAUCUCGAACUUAAUAACUUAAUAAUUCCUUGUAUUAUUUUGGAGCUGGGCAAAUGGUUUGAUGAUAAAAACGUGAAUUAAUUUAUGUUGAGUGAAUUUGUUUCCGAAUUAAAGAGAAAUUUUUAACAUUUUGUACGUUCAAGAGGAAUUAUCAAUAAAUUGAAUGUUUCUAAUGA
This is a long non-coding RNA of Coccinella septempunctata (seven-spotted ladybird), 906 nucleotides long. RefSeq lists it as uncharacterized. The record is from RefSeq and is a predicted model, not a curated record. The transcript has 2 exons. NCBI's taxonomy places the organism in Eukaryota, Metazoa, Arthropoda, Insecta, Coleoptera, Coccinellidae.